AGCACCGGCUAACUCCGUGCCAGCAGCCGCGGUAAUACGGAGGGUGCAAGCGUUAAUCGGAAUCACUGGGCGUAAAGCGCACGCAGGCGGCCUGUUAAGUCAGAUGUGAAAGCCCCGGGCUCAACCUGGGAACUGCAUUUGAUACUGGCAGGCUAGAGUAUGGGAGAGAGAAGUGGAAUUCCACAUGUAGCGGUGAAAUGCGUAGAUAUGUGGAGGAACAUCAGUGGCGAAGGCGACUUCUUGGCCCAAUACUGACGCUCAGGUGCGAAAGCGUGGGGAGCAAACAGGAUUAGAUA
This 296-nucleotide ribosomal RNA is filed under the name Acidimicrobiia bacterium. RNAcentral's name for it is "partial 16S ribosomal RNA". It matches the Rfam family "Bacterial small subunit ribosomal RNA", at positions 488 to 784 of the family's 1533-position model. The record is from RNAcentral. Lineage: Bacteria; Bacillati; Actinomycetota; Acidimicrobiia.